RNAcentral lists this ribosomal RNA (502 nucleotides) under uncultured bacterium. Its description in RNAcentral is "partial 16S ribosomal RNA". It matches the Rfam family "Bacterial small subunit ribosomal RNA", at positions 28 to 523 of the family's 1533-position model. The record is from RNAcentral.
GAUGAACGCUAGCGGGAGGCUUAACACAUGCAAGUCGAGGGGCAUCACGAGGUAGCAAUACUUUGGUGGCGACCGGCGCACGGGUGAGUAACACGUAUGCAACCUACCCUGUACAGGGGGAUAACCCGGAGAAAUUCGGACUAAUAUCCCAUGAUGAUAUUGAGGGGCAUCCUUUAAUAUUUAAAGCUCAGGCGGUACGGGAUGGGCAUGCGGAACAUUAGCUAGUUGGCAGGGUAACGGCCUACCAAGGCUACGAUGUUUAGGGGACCUGGUAGGGUGAUCCCCCACACUGGUACUGAGACACGGACCAGACUCCUACGGGAGGCAGCAGUGAGGAAUAUUGGUCAAUGGGCGCAAGCCUGAACCAGCCAUCCCGCGUGAAGGAAGAAGGCGCUAUGCGUUGUAAACUUCUUUUCCAGGGGGUGAAUAAUUCCGAUGUAUCGGGAGAUGACGGUACCCUGGGAAUAAGCAUCGGCUAACUCCGUGCCAGCAGCCGCGGUAA